RNAcentral lists this ribosomal RNA (253 nucleotides) under uncultured bacterium. RNAcentral's name for it is "partial 16S ribosomal RNA". It matches the Rfam family "Bacterial small subunit ribosomal RNA", at positions 524 to 776 of the family's 1533-position model. The record is from RNAcentral.
GACAGAGGGUGCAAACGUUGUUCGGAAUUACUGGGCGUAAAGCGCGUGUAGGCGGCUAUGCAAGUCGGAUGUGAAAGCCCUCGGCUCAACCGAGGAAGUGCACCCGAAACUGCAAAGCUAGAGUCUCGGAGAGGAUCGUGGAAUUCUCGGUGUAGAGGUGAAAUUCGUAGAUAUCGAGAGGAACACCCGUGGCGAAGGCGGCUCUCUGGGACGGUACUGACGCUGAGACGCGAAAGCGUGGGGAGCGAACAGG